RNAcentral lists this ribosomal RNA (253 nucleotides) under uncultured bacterium. RNAcentral's name for it is "partial 16S ribosomal RNA". It matches the Rfam family "Bacterial small subunit ribosomal RNA", at positions 524 to 776 of the family's 1533-position model. The record is from RNAcentral.
UACGGAAGGUCCGGGCGUUAUCCGGAUUUAUUGGGUUUAAAGGGAGCGCAGGCCGUCGGUUAAGCGUGUUGUGAAAUGCAGAUGCCCAACAUCUGACUUGCAGCGCGAACUGGCUGACUUGAGUACGCACGACGUUGGCGGAAUUUGCCGUGUAGCGGUGAAAUGCUUAGAUAUGGCGAAGAACUCCGAUUGCGAAGGCAGCUGACGGGAGCGCAACUGACGCUCAUGCUCGAAAGUGCGGGUAUCGAACAGG